Molecule: ribosomal RNA, 556 nt
Filed under: Claussenomyces sp.
Lineage: Eukaryota; Fungi; Ascomycota; Leotiomycetes; Leotiales; Tympanidaceae
Description: eukaryotic LSU rRNA
Rfam family: 5.8S ribosomal RNA (bases 197-350)
Source: RNAcentral
UUUCCGUAGGUGAACCUGCGGAAGGAUCAUUACAGAGAACUUGCCCUUCGGGGUAGAUCUCCCACCCUUUGUUUACCUUACCUUUGUUGCUUUGGCAGGCCCGUCCCUCGGGACCGCCGGCUUCGGCUGGCCAGUGCCUGUCAGAGGACCCCAAACUCUUGUUUAAUUGUCGUCUGAGUACUAUAUAAUAAGUUAAAACUUUCAACAACGGAUCUCUUGGUUCUGGCAUCGAUGAAGAACGCAGCGAAAUGCGAUAAGUAAUGUGAAUUGCAGAAUUCAGUGAAUCAUCGAAUCUUUGAACGCACAUUGCGCCCUCUGGUAUUCCGGGGGGCAUGCCUGUUCGAGCGUCAUUACAACCCUCAAGCUCUGCUUGGUAUUGGGCGUCACCAUCUCGGUGCGCCCCAAAAUCAGUGGCGGUGCCAUCUGGCUUCAAGCGUAGUAAUUCUUCUCGCUCUGGACGACCGGUUGCGUACCUGCCAGCAACCCCCAAUUUAAUCAAAGGUUGACCUGGAUCAGGUAGGGAUACCCGCUGAACUUAAGCAUAUCAAUAAGCGGG